CGGCGGUAAUACCUGUGAGGAAACACCUGUUCCCAUUCCGAACACAGAAGUUAAGAUCACAAGGGCCUAUGGUACUUACUGCUAAUUCGCGGUUGGGAGAGUAGGACGCCGC
This 112-nucleotide ribosomal RNA is filed under the name Elusimicrobia bacterium ADurb.Bin231. Lineage: Bacteria; Pseudomonadati; Elusimicrobiota. The record is from RNAcentral.